GGCGUAAAGCGCAUGCAGGUGGGAGGUCAAGUCUGAUGUGAAAUCCCCGGGCCCAACCUGGGAAGUGCAUUCGAAACUGCUUUUCUUGAGUACUGUAGAGGGGGGUAGAAUUUC
This 114-nucleotide ribosomal RNA is filed under the name uncultured bacterium. RNAcentral describes it as "partial 16S ribosomal RNA". It matches the Rfam family "Bacterial small subunit ribosomal RNA", at positions 557 to 670 of the family's 1533-position model. The record is from RNAcentral.